Molecule: ribosomal RNA, 253 nt
Filed under: uncultured bacterium
Lineage: Bacteria
Description: partial 16S ribosomal RNA
Rfam family: Bacterial small subunit ribosomal RNA
Source: RNAcentral
UACGGAGGGUGCAAGCGUUAUCCGGAUUCACUGGGUUUAAAGGGUGCGUAGGUGGUUUUGUAAGUCAGUGGUGAAAGCCUGCAGCUUAACUGUAGAAUUGCCAUUGAUACUGCUUAACUUGAAUCAAGUCGAGGUGGAUGGAAUAAAUCAUGUAGCGGUGAAAUGCUUAGAUAUGAUUUAGAACACCGAUUGCGAAGGCAGUUCACUAGGCUUGUAUUGACACUGAGGCACGAAAGCGUGGGGAUCAAACAGG